Molecule: ribosomal RNA, 497 nt
Filed under: uncultured bacterium
Lineage: Bacteria
Description: partial 16S ribosomal RNA
Rfam family: Bacterial small subunit ribosomal RNA
Source: RNAcentral
GAUGAACGCUGGCGGCGUGCCUAAUACAUGCAAGUCGAGCGAACGGACGAGAAGCUUGCUUCUCUGAUGUUAGCGGCGGACGGGUGAGUAACACGUGGAUAACCUACCUAUAAGACUGGGAUAACUUCGGGAAACCGGAGCUAAUACCGGAUAAUAUUUUGAACCGCAUGGUUCAAAAGUGAAAGACGGUCUUGCUGUCACUUAUAGAUGGAUCCGCGCUGCAUUAGCUAGUUGGUAAGGUAACGGCUUACCAAGGCAACGAUGCAUAGCCGACCUGAGAGGGUGAUCGGCCACACUGGAACUGAGACACGGUCCAGACUCCUACGGGAGGCAGCAGUAGGGAAUCUUCCGCAAUGGGCGAAAGCCUGACGGAGCAACGCCGCGUGAGUGAUGAAGGUCUUCGGAUCGUAAAACUCUGUUAUUAGGGAAGAACAUAUGUGUAAGUAACUGAGCACAUCUUGACGGUACCUAAUCAGAAAGCCGCGGCUAACUACGUG